CCUACGGGUGGCAGCAGUGAGGAAUAUUGGACAAUGGCCGGAAGGCUGAACCAGCCAUGCCGCGUGAGGGUCAGUGCCCUAUGGUCGGUAAACUUCUUUUGUCCGGGAGCAAUAAUGCUCACGUUUGGCCAGACGAGAGUACCGUACGAAUAAGCAUCGGCUAACUCCGUUCCAGCAGCCGCGGUUAUACGGGGGAUGCAAGCGUUAUCCGGGUUUAUUGGGUUUUAAGGGUGCGUAGGCUGUGAGGUAAGUCAGCGGUGAAAUGCCCCCGGCUAACGGGCUGAAGUGCCAUUGAUACUGGCUUGCUGGAAUGCGGGAGAGGUAGGAGGAAUGUGUGGUGUAGCGGUGAAAUGCAUAGAUAUCA
Molecule: ribosomal RNA, 364 nt
Filed under: uncultured bacterium
Lineage: Bacteria
Description: partial 16S ribosomal RNA
Rfam family: Bacterial small subunit ribosomal RNA
Source: RNAcentral